Molecule: long non-coding RNA, 1299 nt
Filed under: Homo sapiens (human)
Lineage: Eukaryota; Metazoa; Chordata; Mammalia; Primates; Hominidae
Description: HSALNT0370282
Source: RNAcentral
AUUGCAGGCAACAGAAACAAUCUUUGUCCAACCAGCAAAAGAGGGAUUUGGAGAAAGAAAAUGAAGCAGCUUAUGGAACAGAAGGUCAGGAGAGUCCCAAGAAGAAGGAUCAUAUCUGGUUUCCUCUUCUGCCUCUCCCCAUGGUGUCUAGGAGAGUGCACACUCAGUCAGCAUUGAUAACUAACUCUGAAUGCAGAUGUGACGGUUGAUAGACCAGCUGCUAUAUUGGACUAUGAAGACAAGGGUCACCCCUCUGGAUCGGACAGUGUGGAGUUAGAAGAAGCUCAGCUCCCUGAGGAUUUUGUGGAGUACAUCCAUACCAGCCCAUACAGGCUGACUGCAGACAUUAAUUUUAUGUCAUGCCCCUGGAAGCUGAGCCCAGUUCAAAUGGCUGCUAUCUUUCUAUCUACUGUGUAGAGAAUACUGGAGGGACAAGAGUGAAAAUAGGGAUAAUCUCUAUUUCAUACAUAGGAACCCUGAAGCCUGAAGAAGUUAAAUGAAGUACAUUAGGAUUGUGGGUAAAAGUACUGGCUUUAAAGUUAGUAAACUUGUCUGUAUUUAAAUCCUGCCUCCAAUACUUCCUAACCUUGUAACCUUGAGCAAUUCCUUAGCCUGGGUAAGCCUGAUUUCCUCAUCUGUAGAAUGGGAUGAUAACAGUGCCUAUCUUAGACUAUGAUUGUGUGUAUUAAAUAAAAUAAACCAUGAAAAGACCUAACACAGCCUGAUAGAAUUGGCAUUCCUCGCCUGCCAGUUCCCUGUCCCUCCUUCGCCGGACCCUUUCCCACCUCUUGCAUCUGUCCAGGAAAUGGUGAUCCUUCCAAGGUGGGUGAACAGCGCAAUCAGUUAAGAGAAAUGCCUUUUGUUACGAAGAGAGGGCAAAAAGAGGGAGAGAAGGGAGAAAGAAGGAAGCCUUAGCACACGAAUGGAUAUGAUGGACUUUCAAGUACCCAGAGGUUUCAGCUCACAAGAGACAAAUGUCAGUAGUGAGCCUGGAGUACUGAGAGAUCUAAGAAAAGAAGGCCGGAAGUUCAGCCGUCAGCCUCCAAGCUGUUCCCUUGCCAAUCCCCUUCUUUUUUCUCCCUUUCUCUAUCACCUCUUCUCUUUCCUCUUCCAAAAUAAAAGUAGGAAGCGUGAAAAGCUUGGUAAAUCAUCUGGUUUUCAGGCUGUUUUUCCUUGGAGUGGCUAAGACUGCUUUUUAUUGGCUUGGCAGGAUGUUUUGAGAUUGUGUGGCGAGGACUCCUCUGUGUGUGUGCCCGUGUGUGUGUGCGCGCGCGUGUGAGUGUUUAUCUGAGUACUGGG